This 119-nucleotide ribosomal RNA is filed under the name Petromyzon marinus (sea lamprey). The record is from RNAcentral. Lineage: Eukaryota; Metazoa; Chordata; Hyperoartia; Petromyzontiformes; Petromyzontidae.
UCCGACGAUCAAAUCACCCUAAAUGUGCCCGAUCUCAUCAGAUCUUGGAAUAUAAGCAAGGUAUAGCUUGCUUAGUACUUGGAUCGGUGGCUGUCAGGGCUUGCCAGAUGUUAUAGGCU